AUGUGAAGUCUGGCCUGCCCACUGAAUACAUUUAAAGGGCCGCGGUAUACUAACCGUGCGAAGGUAGCAUAGUCAAUAGUCUUUUAAUUGGAGGCUUGAAUGAACGGUCGGACAUGGGGAUGGCUGUCUGUGACUUAAGGGUAUGAAUUUAACUUUUGUGUGAAAAGGCAUUAAUAUUUUAAAGGGACGAUAAGACCCUAUAAAACUUGACAUUUAGGCCUGGGCCCUAGAAUUUAGGUAUAAUUGAGGGUGGUGGUAGUUUGUUGUGCUGGGGCGGCUAGAAUAUAAGAUAUAGUAACUGUUCUUUAUAUUGAAUAAUGAUUAUUAGGUGUUGACCCUGAAUUUUAGGUUAAAAGAUUAAGUUACUUUAGGGAUAACAGCGUUAUUUUCCUUGAGAGUUCAUAUCGACAGGGAUAUUUGCGACCUCGAUGUUGAAUUAAAGUUUUCUUCGGGAGUAGAAGUUCGGAGGAUAGGUCUGUUCGACCUUUAAAACUUUACAUGAUUUGAGUUC
Molecule: ribosomal RNA, 511 nt
Filed under: Alpheus cf. armillatus B
Lineage: Eukaryota; Metazoa; Arthropoda; Malacostraca; Decapoda; Alpheidae
Description: partial 16S ribosomal RNA
Rfam family: Bacterial large subunit ribosomal RNA
Source: RNAcentral